RNAcentral lists this ribosomal RNA (517 nucleotides) under uncultured bacterium. RNAcentral's name for it is "bacterial SSU rRNA". It matches the Rfam family "Bacterial small subunit ribosomal RNA", at positions 262 to 769 of the family's 1533-position model. The record is from RNAcentral.
GGCCUACCAAGGCGACGAUCCGUAGCGGGUCUGAGAGGAUGAUCCGCCACACUGGGACUGAGACACGGCCCAGACUCCUACGGGAGGCAGCAGUGGGGAAUUUUGGACAAUGGGCGGAAGCCUGAUCCAGCCAUGCCGCGUGAGUGAAGAAGGCCUUCGGGUUGUAAAGCUCUUUCGGGCCGGGAAGAAAUCGCAUGGGUCAAUACCCCUGUGUGGAUGACGGUACCGGAAUAAGAAGCACCGGCUAACUACGUGCCAGCAGCCGCGGUAAUACGUAGGGUGCGAGCGUUAAUCGGAAUUACUGGGCGUAAAGCGUGCGCAGGCGGUUUGGUAAGUCAGAUGUGAAAAUCCCCGGGCUCAACCUGGGAACUGCAUUUGAGACUGCCAAGCUGGAGUUUGGCAGAGGGGGUGGAAUUCCACGUGUAGCAGUGAAAUGCGUAGAGAUGUGGAGGAACACCGAUGGCGAAGGCAGCCCCCUGGGCCAAUACUGACGCUCAUGCACGAAAGCGUGGGGAGC